CCUACGGGGGGCUGCAGUGGGGGAUAUUGGACAAUGGGGGAAACCCUGAUCCAGCGACGCCGCGUGAGUGAAGAAGUAUUUCGGUAUGUAAAGCUCUGUCAGCAGGGAAGAAAGAAAUGACGGUACCUGACCAAGAAGCCCCGGCUAACUACGUGCCAGCAGCCGCGGUAAUACGUAGGGGGCAAGCGUUAUCCGGAAUUACUGGGUGUAAAGGGAGCGUAGACGGUGAUGCAAGUCUGGAGUGAAAGGCGGGGGCCCAACCCCCGGACUGCUCUGGAAACUGUGUAACUUGAGUGUAGGAGAGGUAAGCGGAAUUCCUAGUGUAGCGGUGAAAUGCGUAGAUAUUAGGAGGAACACCAGUGGCGAAGGCGGCUUACUGGACUGUAACUGACGUUGAGGCUCGAAAGCGUGGGAAGCAAACAGGAUUAGAUACCCUGGUAGUC
Molecule: ribosomal RNA, 443 nt
Filed under: uncultured bacterium
Lineage: Bacteria
Description: partial 16S ribosomal RNA
Rfam family: Bacterial small subunit ribosomal RNA
Source: RNAcentral